Molecule: ribosomal RNA, 253 nt
Filed under: uncultured bacterium
Lineage: Bacteria
Description: partial 16S ribosomal RNA
Rfam family: Bacterial small subunit ribosomal RNA
Source: RNAcentral
UACGGAGGGUCCGAGCGUUAUCCGGAAUUAUUGGGUUUAAAGGGUCCGUAGGCGGGCCGAUAAGUCAGGGGUGAAAGUCUGCGGCUCAACCGUAGAAAUGCCCUUGAUACUGUCGGUCUUGAGUUAUGGUGAAGUGGGCGGAAUAUGUAGUGUAGCGGUGAAAUGCAUAGAUAUUACAUAGAACACCGAUUGCGAAGGCAGCUCACUAACCAUAUACUGACGCUGAUGGACGAAAGCGUGGGGAGCGAACAGG